RNAcentral lists this ribosomal RNA (1946 nucleotides) under Triticum aestivum (bread wheat). RNAcentral's name for it is "partial small subunit ribosomal RNA". Lineage: Eukaryota; Viridiplantae; Streptophyta; Magnoliopsida; Poales; Poaceae. The record is from RNAcentral.
AGUGCAUUUGUUGCGGACACGGACUUUGGCAGCCAUUCAAUCACCCACCAGACACUCAUCUCUUCCGCCCCUGCUGCCUAAGCUGCUGCUGCUUUUUCCUCUGCUCCUCACCUCCUCCACGCCUCCUCCCCUACCCUUUUCCCCUCCUUCUCCUCUGCAGCCGCCUGCGCCAUGUCGUCGUCGUUCGCGCACCACCACGGCUCUCUGCAGGUGGAGAGGAUGUCUGCGCUGAAGAGUAGCCUCAGGCCGUGCGAGGCAGCCGAGGAGGUGGCGGCCGCCGUGGUCGCUGGGCCGGCGGCGUGGGGAGCCGGGCUGCUGGGUGACGGCUUCUCGGUGGAGGAGCUCCUCGACCUUGAGGAGCUCUGCGAGGUGGACAAGGAAGGCGGCUUCCUCUGCGAGACGGCGCCGGCCGCCGAGGAGGACGAAAAGUGCAGUGACUCCCACGGGUCGUCGGCGGUCUCCUACGAGCUCAUGCCGCUUAUUCCACAGGAGAUGGACCUGCCGGCCCACGACGCGGAGGAACUGGAGUGGGUGUCGCGUAUCAUGGACGACUCGCAGGCAGAGCUCCCGCCGCCGCAGCAGCUCCCAGCGCCAGCGGCGUGGCCACCGCAGCACCGCCGGCCGCAGGAAAGCGCCGUGCCGACCGUGGACCCUAUGCGGACCCCGACCAUAUGCGCGCUUUCCACGGAAGCGUUGGUGCCGGUGAGGUCGAAGAAGCGCAGCAAGCGCUCGCGCGGCACCACCGUGUGGUCGCUCUCCGGUGCGUCCAUAUCCGACUCGGCGUCGUCGUCCGCCACCAGCUCCUCCUGCUCCUCGUCGGCCUCCCUGUCGUCCUUCUUCCUAAUGGACUCCCCCACCUUCAACCUCCUCGACGAACCUCCACGCCCCAAGAACAAGAGCAAGAAGUCCAAGCACAAGGCCAAGAAGCGCGGGCGCAAGCCAAAGAGCCAUCUCCCGCCGCAGCUGUCGGGCGGCGCCGCCUCCCCGCCGGCCCAGGGCGACCGGCGGUGCAGCCACUGCGGCGUCCAGAAGACGCCCCAGUGGCGCGCUGGGCCGGAGGGCGCCAAGACGCUGUGCAACGCCUGCGGCGUCCGCUUCAAGUCGGGGCGGCUCCUCCCGGAGUACCGGCCGGCGUGCAGCCCCACGUUCGUGGGCAACCUGCACUCCAACUCCCACCGCAAGGUGCUGGAGAUGCGCCGCAAGAAGGACCCCGUCCCCGUCGUCAUCGAGGCCGCCACCGCGCCGGCCGUGGCCUCGUUCUAGCCGCCCCUCCCCGCGGCGGGUAGUGUACAUCUUUUUCGGCCGUGCCGUUGAUUAGUCUGUUGUAACGCACUCGUGGAUUUUUCUUGGCGUCCUCUAUUUAGUUGUUGCCCUACUACUAGAAAGAACUUGUUAGAAAGUAGUUUUAGUAGGAGUCUAUUAGGUCGUGUUAGGUGUAGGGAUUACCACUGCUCUACUAAGCUUUCGGUUUUAGCUUUGGUCUGUUAGGAUAUUGCCGUAGAAGUGGCGCCUUUUUAGUGGAGUCUCGGGAAGAAAGCUUUUCGAAGUUGUUUGAAUCAUGCGAGGCAGAAGUGGCAAUGUCCAUGCUUGGGUUAUCUUUGGUGUGAAGCAAGAAGCUAGCUAGCUGCCUUGUUUUUCUUUAAAGGAAGCUGCCAACAAUUCCAGAAGAAUACUAUGUCUGGUAGUAGUGUCAUGGCGUGGAUUCCCCUCUUCCUCUUCACAUCAGCGUGCCUGUGCCAAAUCUACCCAAGGAGUUGCAGCUUUUACGGCCCUUCGUCAUUACUACGAACUCGUACGUAUCUGAUUAAUGGCCACCGCACAUCGGGUACAAACAGGAGCCUAAUAACUGCACCGUUACCGUCCAUAUACGACACCCAAAUUACUCCUGCAUUCAAAGUGGAACCAGUAGACUAGGCCACGGGAUUGCCAGCCAAAAAUCUUCACAA